Gavialis gangeticus (Gharial) is the source of this 3536-nucleotide long non-coding RNA. RefSeq lists it as uncharacterized. The transcript is spliced from 3 exons. The record is from RefSeq and is a predicted model, not a curated record. Lineage: Eukaryota; Metazoa; Chordata; Crocodylia; Gavialidae.
CAGCCCCUUCCUAUGGAGUGAAUGCGUGUUGGGGGAAGAGACAGAGAAGUACUUAUAACUCAUUGGAGGAUUGAGCACCUCCAGGCUUCAACUCCUAGCUGUUGCCUUGAGGAAACCGUUAUCUCUGUGUUUUCUUUCUGCAGACUUGAAGACGAAGGAGCUGCAAGGUGAGGACCUUAUCUCUAGACCCUGGCCUGCCUUCUCCACUGCUUGGUAAACUCAUUCCUUUAGCAUGUGGGCCCCUGUCUGAAUGUUCACACUAGUCUCUCUAAGUCCCCAAGGCUCAGGAUCUGUCAAUGGGCUGUGCUUGCUUUGUGUCUUCCCCAUAGUAUGGUCCCUAAACUGCAUGCCCCAGACAUUAAGAGGAAGACAGGAUUUAUCUUCACCACAUGAAUCUCAGCUCUGCAUUUGGGGGACAGUAGAUAGUGCUGGCUGAGGGGAGCUGGGCAAAAUGAACUAUAGACUACCAAACUUUCUCACCAGUUCAGAGGUCUGUGGAUAAGGGAGAAGUCUUGGAAGAGAAGAAAGAAGGAAAUGAAGCCUGGGCAAGGAGUUUCCUCAAAGAAUUAGCUGGCAGGAACUCUAGGUCUCUGAUCCCAGGAACCAGAGGCUGCCAAAUGCCUUUAAAUGUAGGAGUAAGCAGUUGAGGAACUGGCCUCUUCCAUAAUUAAGGGAUCUCUUUAGGCUCCUGCCUCUUAUCACUGAAGUGCAGUCAGCCAGAGCCACUGCCAGCUUCCUACAUUACAGAGAAUGAAGAGGGGAAAUCCAGUGAUUUCUCCAUACAACUAACAAGAAAAUCCCCUUCCCUAUGGAGGGGUCGGGUCGGGGGAGGAGACCUCCAACAGGGGUCCUCAGUGGAGGGAUCCAGGGUUUCUUUGUGUCCUCUCCAUCUGCUGUAGGAGGAACCAAGGCCACUUGCUCCCACCACCCCAUGACAGUCCAGCCCCACCCUCUCCACUUCCAUCUCUUUAAGCCCAUGGUCUUUGUGCUUGGUCCUCCCCAUGGCAUUAAGUGGAGCCUGGGCCCAUUGUUCAACUUUGCUGACAAGGCAAGUUCUGUCUUUCCUUCUCUAGUAUGUUCAAGUCCAUGGUGGUAUCAUCCCAUGUGCCUCAGUGACCCAGAAACAGCUGUUUUCAUUGGUGGAGAAGAAGCCCAACAACAGUCUUAUAAGGAUCCUUUCUGGACACUACAAACUGGUGCUGCUCCUACAGAUGAUGAUUUCUGAUUCCCAGUGGACCUGCCCCUUCUAAGCUCUGUGCCACUCUGCUUAUGGGCCACAUUGCCACAUAUUACUCGGACACCAUAUGUGUCUAUGUCUUCAGGGGUGCAAAGGAGGGUACACACCAUAGCAGCAUCUGCAUCCUGGACACUGUCACCUGGAAGUGGCUCCCUAUGGCUGCCAAGGAGAAGAUGCUGGCACUGGGCUACCACAGUGCAACCAUCUCUUCAUCUUUGGAGGGGCUUUCCCCAAGACCACAGCACUGGAGUCUGUGGCCUGCAACAACACACUCUAUAUCUUCAACUCGGAGUAUGAGAUUUGGUACCAGCCCAUUGUGGAGGAGGAAAAUCCCCUUCCUAGACUUGGGUGAGAAGCUUUUGAUUCAGCCCUUAAAGUCAUAGCAUAGGAGGCAUCCUUUGUUUCUGUCUCCUCAGUCCCUACAUCUGGGAGCAAGUGACUGCUUGAUUGUUCUUCGUGGUCUGGUCCCCAGGGCUGAGUUCAGCCCUAGUUUUAAAUAUCUCCAGUGAGAGUGUUCCCAGCUAUAUUUCCAUGGGAGAGAUGGAGUGCUCUCCAGCAGAAGUGUCAUGGUUGUGGGCAUGUGAAUUGUCUUGGCCCAAAAAGCUGUAGGUUAAUGGCUCCCCCAAAACAUGACCUUUGGGAAUGGAAAUUGGUUUGGAUAUCAGGAGGUUCUUGAGGUUGCCUGGCUUACUCACCACCUCUCUUCCCAGCCACUCAGCCACUCUGCUGAGAAACAAGCUCAUAUUUCAGGGGGGCAAAGGACAUCUGCCUACCUGAAUGAUAUGUGCAUCCUGGAUGUGGUUGAGAAUGGGACACUGCCUUUCCUGUCAGGCUUUACCAGAGGGUUAGGGCAGGGUAGGCAAUACAGGGCACCCUACCUUAGGAAGGUGCAUUCUGAUGGCUGGGACAAUGAGGCCGAAAGCCAUCGUGCUUAGGACAUGGGAAGAGGAGGUCUGGUUGUAAGAGGCCCUGACUGGGAAGUAGGAACGGGAUGCAACUGGUGUGAGGAAGGCCCUGAUGGGUGGAGAAGGAAUGGUCUGGCCCAGUGGAGGACAUAAGAAAUGUAAGGCACUUGCCAUGGCAGAAGUCUGGCUAACAGGGUAGACAAAUUACUGCUCUGAUGUGAUGGACAAAACCUGUGUCCCUCAAAUUCAGCACAGAGCUCUGUCUUGCAGUGGGGCUAGGAAAUGCUGCUAGGCUUGCUCCUCAUUUACAGUCUUUACUCCUUUUCCCCUGUGCAUCAGGUUACAUGGAGUAUACAACUGUUCCAUUUCUCCCAGGAUAGUCUUCUGCAGGCUGGUAAGAUCUUGCUGUAGGACCAAGUGCCAACUCUUUUUAUGGCAGGGAGUGGUGCCAAGUUGGAAAAGUUGCUUCCUCCAUACCAGUAGGGCUGCCAUCCAGCACAACUUCCCAUCCCUGGCAGCUGUACUGAAAAAGAGCUGGAGAAAGGAAGACACCCUGUACUCUGAAUGCUCAGGUCCUGAAGGGAAGCCUUGGCCACCUCAUUAGAACCUUCUAUCUGAGAUAUUCUGGUGUUUUAUAGGCACUGCUUAUACCUCACAGCAUCAACGGCACAGAAAAGGAAAUGACUUGUUUAGGGUGACCUAGAAAGGCAGUGGCAAACCUGAGACUAGAACUCACAAGUCCUGACUACUAUCUAUUGUCCAAACCACUCCCCCAUGCUUCUUCUAGGUAAGGCUGCACCCCUAGGAGAUGAAGGGACAGCGGGUUCCCCAAUAGAUUUUGCUCUAGUUUCCAAUUCUAGUUUCCAUGAUGCAACAGCCAUGUCUGACCAGAGGGUCCUGAUCAGUGGAGGCUGCAAUGCUAAAGAGGCCUUACACUUUUUACCUUGGUGAGUAACUCUCCAGCCCCGCUGCCGAAUUGCUGUUGGCUCUGGAAACUUUGGUCUCUCUGGCAUGUCUAGCAGCCUUGUGUUCAAUCAUUUGUGUUGUUCCUGGCAUAGAGGGGAUUGUACUGGUGGUGUCCUUUCUGUUGCAGACACUUUCACAUGGAACACAGUAACCCACCAUGACCUCUGCUUUGUGUCCCAAUCUGAACACAUGCUGCUCAAUCUGAUCUCCAUCCAUCUGCCUGAUGUUGAUAAGGAAAGAAAGGGCAAGCACAGCCUAUGCACACUGCUUGUGUUCCUUGGCUUAGACUGUGCUGGGACUUUCUAUAACAGCACCAGCAGGAUCCAGUUGGACCUAGGAGAAGAGGCAGCACUUUCUGAGGCCCAGCCUAGAACAGCAGGGGUUCUGUACCUGGGCAAAUAGAGGCAGUGAUGGCUAGAUUGUGGAUG